CCUACGGGUGGCAGCAGUGAGGAAUAUUGGUCAAUGGGCGUAAGCCUGAACCAGCCAAGUCGCGUGAGGGAUGAAGGUUCUAUGGAUCGUAAACCUCUUUUAUAAGGGAAUAAAGUGCGGGACGUGUCCCGUUUUGUGUGUACCUUAUGAAUAAGGAUCGGCUAACUCCGUUCCAGCAGCCGCGGUAAUACGGAGGAUCCGAGCGUUGUCCGGAUUGAUUGGGUUUAAUGGGUGCGUAGGCGGCUUUGUAAGUCAGGGGGGAAAGUCUGUGGCUCAACCAUAGAAUUGCCGUUGAAACUGGGAGGCUUGAGGAUGUUGGAGGCAGGCGGAAUGCGUGGUGUAGCGGUGAAAUGCUUAGAUAUCACGCAGAACCCCGAUUGCGAAGGCAGCCUGCCAAGCCAUGACUGACGCUGAUGCACGAAAGCGUGGGGAUCAAACAGGAUUAGAUACCCCUGUAGUC
This 460-nucleotide ribosomal RNA is filed under the name uncultured bacterium. RNAcentral's name for it is "partial 16S ribosomal RNA". It matches the Rfam family "Bacterial small subunit ribosomal RNA", at positions 338 to 795 of the family's 1533-position model. The record is from RNAcentral.